Molecule: transfer RNA, 100 nt
Filed under: Colletotrichum chlorophyti
Lineage: Eukaryota; Fungi; Ascomycota; Sordariomycetes; Glomerellales; Glomerellaceae
Rfam family: tRNA
About the family: Transfer RNA (tRNA) molecules are approximately 80 nucleotides in length.
Source: Rfam by way of RNAcentral
GGUCUGGUGGUGUAGUUGGUUAUCACGUCAGUCUAACAGUUCGACUUCAUCCUCGAAUUGAGCACACUGAAGGUCUCCGGUUCAAGUCCGGGCUAGAUCA